AGGGGUGUAGUUCAAUUGGUAGAGCACCGGUCUCCAAAACCGGGUGUUGGGAGUUCAAAUCUCCCCACCCCUG
Candidatus Hamiltonella defensa 5AT (Acyrthosiphon pisum) is the source of this 73-nucleotide non-coding RNA. Lineage: Bacteria; Pseudomonadati; Pseudomonadota; Gammaproteobacteria; Enterobacterales; Enterobacteriaceae. The record is from Rfam.